RNAcentral lists this ribosomal RNA (492 nucleotides) under uncultured bacterium. RNAcentral's name for it is "bacterial SSU rRNA". It matches the Rfam family "Bacterial small subunit ribosomal RNA", at positions 28 to 520 of the family's 1533-position model. The record is from RNAcentral.
GACGAACGCUGGCGGCGUGCCUAACACAUGCAAGUCGAGCGGAGCCAAUUGUCAGAUCCCUUCGGGGUGACGAUGAGGAAGCUUAGCGGCGGACGGGUGAGUAACGCGUGAGUAACCUGCCUGUAAGAGGGGGAUAACACAGAGAAAUCUGUGCUAAUACCGCAUAUUGAAUGUGAACCGCAUGGUUUACAUUUGAAAGAUUUAUCGCUUACAGAUGGACUCGCGUCUGAUUAGCCAGUUGGCGGGUAAAGGCCCACCAAAGCGACGAUCAGUAGCCGACCUGAGAGGGUGACCGGCCACAUUGGAACUGAGACACGGCCCAGACUCCUACGGGAGGCAGCAGUGAGGAAUAUUGGGCAAUGGGGGGCAACCCUGACCCAGCCAUGCCGCGUGAGUGAAGAAGGUUUUCGGAUUGUAAAGCUCUUUCGGGUGUGACGAUGAUGACGGUAGCACCUAAAGAAGCCCCGGCAAACUUCGUGCCAGCAGCCGCGG